AGGAGGAACAGCCACAGUGGUGCAGGCUGGCUCUGGAGCCCUGGAUUCAGCUCCCACAGUAACUAUGGAGCUCAGUCUGCAGGGGUCUGGAUGCUCUGGGGGCAG
RNAcentral lists this microRNA precursor (105 nucleotides) under Canis lupus familiaris (dog). RNAcentral describes it as "mir-8834 microRNA precursor family". It matches the Rfam family "mir-8834 microRNA precursor family". RNAcentral also lists the same sequence under 1 other name. The record is from Rfam by way of RNAcentral. Lineage: Eukaryota; Metazoa; Chordata; Mammalia; Carnivora; Canidae.